CGGGUUGUAAAGCUCUUUCGGUUGGGGAGAAGGGUUAUGUGUUGAAUAGGCAUGUAAUUUGAUUGUACCAACAUAAGAAGCACCGGCAAACUUCGUGC
This 98-nucleotide ribosomal RNA is filed under the name uncultured bacterium. RNAcentral's name for it is "partial 16S ribosomal RNA". The record is from RNAcentral.